This 237-nucleotide ribosomal RNA is filed under the name Desulfitobacterium chlororespirans DSM 11544. Its description in RNAcentral is "16S rRNA. Bacterial SSU". It matches the Rfam family "Bacterial small subunit ribosomal RNA", at positions 19 to 235 of the family's 1533-position model. Lineage: Bacteria; Bacillati; Bacillota; Clostridia; Eubacteriales; Desulfitobacteriaceae. The record is from RNAcentral.
CUGGCUCAGGACGAACGCUGGCGGCGUGCCUAACACAUGCAAGUCGAACGGAGAACUCAAUAAGCUUGCUUAAAGAGUUCUUAGUGGCGGACGGGUGAGUAACGCGUGGAUAACCUACCUAGUAGACCGGGACAACCCUUGGAAACGAGGGCUAAUACCGGAUAAGCUUACAUCUUGGCAUCAAGGAGUAAGGAAAGAUGGCCUCUGAAGAUGCUAUCGUUAGUAGAUGGAUCCGCG